GCCGCUUGCUGGCUCAAACCAGAUGGUCACACAUUCAUGUCUGCAUCGUUCUAUUUCUGCAUCCUACACAUGAACUCGCAAAGCUGUCAAAAAUAUGGUGAACCUUUUAUAUUAAUAUAUGAACAUACAUGUCCAUUGCAAAUAGCUUGAAAAGCUUUGGACUUGUCACUCAUGAAAAGAAUGACGUUUACUACCAUUGUGUCCCUGAGCAAGACACUUAACCCUAAGUUGCUCCAGGGGGACUGUCCCUGUAACUACUGAUUGUAAGUCGCUCUGGAUAAGGGCGUCUGAUAAAUGCUGUAAAUGUAAAUGUAAAUAUGACGUGUUGAUGAAGUGGACAUUUCAGAAUAAUUCCCAUCUGUAGGCAGAUUUUCUUUUUUAUUGUAAGAGCGCGGAUACAGGCUUAAACCAUAAACUCCAGUGAUUCUAAGUAUUAUUGUGUAAUGUUUAAUCAUGGCUUCCUGUUUCCAGGAAACUCAAGUCUGAAUGUUUUCUCCACAAAAAGCAGAACUACUCGGCUGCUGUUUUUUUGUUCUGUCAGGAAUAAGCGUUUUCCAACCAAGAUAAAAAGUCCACUUCAGAGUUCCUUCACCUGCUACCUUCUCCACAUACUUCAGUUGGAGGAAUGAUGGAGCUGAAGCUCAGUAAUUUUGGCCUGAAUAAGACGAGAGGCUGUAUAUGUUGGAUGCUCUGCGGUUAUAUCAUGUUGUUUUUUUUCAACCCGUCCCACAAGACUACUGCUUCUGUUUGACAGGAAGUGGCGAUGCAGAGACAUUGAAACUAUCGAAGGCUACACAUACAAGACUUUGUAAAAGCAGAAACCCAAUACGGACGUGUCAGGUCAGAUUUGGUCAAAAAAAAUGUGCCCUCGGUGGAUCAUACUAUCACUUUUUCAAAUAUUAACAGAUGCUGUGACGCUGCAGAGGGGAGGCUCUGCCAAUCUGUCUUGUAAUGCAUCUUUUGGUGCCGGUUGGAUAAUUUGGAGUAAAAAAGGAAGUACAGAAAUCAUCUGUAAAUAUUAUCUUGAAAAUAACAUUGACAAAAACAUUAAACCAUGUGGGCCACGUGUUGAAAUCGUUUCUUCUGCAAUUCAUAUAAGGAACCUUGAAUGCAAUGACUCGGGGGAAUAUAACUGCACAUUUACAAAAAUGGUUCCUCCACCAACUUUACAUUUUCAUCAGCAUAUUCAGCUCAACGUUGAAGGCCUUUCCCUGAGGCAAACUGGCCAUGAGAGCAGCUGCAUCCAGUUACAGUGUACAGUGUGCAGGAAAAGAGAUGGUGUGACCUUCUCAUGGAGCAGGGACGGACAGGCACUAACCGAGCAUCAGUGGACCAGCCACAACUCCUCUGACUGGCGGAGCACCCUGAGGAUCUGCCAUGAUCAGUGGAGCUUUGGAGACAAUUUCACUUGCUAUGCAACACACUCGACAAACGAGUCGGCACUGAACACAACCAUCACCAUCACAGAAAAUGAUUCCGGGACUGGCCAGAGGAUGUGGCAGAUCAUUGGAUUUUCCAUUUUUGUCGGGAUUGUGGUCAUCGUCAUCUUCAGCGUGGCCAUUUGCAUUUGGAGAAAGAGAAACAAUGAAUCAACAGUGUACGUCAACAAAGUUUAUGAAAACUUCACUUUCAGCACCCAGGUCAACACACCAAGGAUCACAGUUGAACAACGUGAAGAAUGUAUAUAUGAAAACUAGAUCUGCUGUCCGGUCUUAAAAGGUGAAUGGUGCAAUAAACAUGCAAGUUGUAUACACUGAUGCCCCGGGGAAAAGUUCUUUUUAAAAAAAAAAGAUCAUUGUACAUUAAACAGGCUUUUCUUGUUUUGUAUUGUAUUUGGAAGAAAUUCGUUUAUUACUACCAUUCUGUCCAGUUUCUAGCAGCUGUUUUGGCAAUUUCUGUCUGUUUAAAAUGAAAAUAAUUUAUUUCAUGCUAUUAAAUCAGUUUUUCCAUGACAUAAAAUGCAGUUUUAAUAUAAAUAUAAAUGUACUUAUUCGCCUUGCACUCUGCCUUUCAUCAGAAGUUCCCUUUUUUUUUUUUUUUUUUUAAAACAAGACCAGGUUUAAGCAAGAACAAAUAUAAUUCAAGAUGAUAGUAUAUUCAUAAAUUAUAAGAGAUUUAUAUAUAUAUAUAUAUGAUGGAUGAUGUGAAAUAGUGAGGGUUUUAAUAAAAUAUUUAUAAAAAUAAAGAUAUAUAUAUAUACAUAUUUAAUCAACAAAUUGUGUUUUCCAGUUGUCCAUUCUGUUCAAGGACCAAAGUUUGAACCUUUGGGGUUAAAUGUAAUAUACUGUUAUUUAUUAAAAAUAUUAAACCGUUCCACUUUGUGUGAUAUUUGUGAUAUAAAUGUGAAAACAUUUUUGAAACAUCACUGAACCUUUUCAGUGGGAAAGAAC
This is a long non-coding RNA of Denticeps clupeoides (denticle herring), 2390 nucleotides long. NCBI's taxonomy places the organism in Eukaryota, Metazoa, Chordata, Actinopteri, Clupeiformes, Denticipitidae. The record is from Ensembl.